Molecule: ribosomal RNA, 433 nt
Filed under: uncultured bacterium
Lineage: Bacteria
Description: partial 16S ribosomal RNA
Rfam family: Bacterial small subunit ribosomal RNA
Source: RNAcentral
AACGAACGCUGGCGGCAGGCCUAACACAUGCAAGUCGAGCGCGCCCUUCGGGGUGAGCGGCGGACGGGUGAGUAACGCGUGGGAACGUGCCCUUUUCUACGGAAUAGCCUUGGGAAACUGAGAGUAAUACCGUAUACGCCCUUUGGGGGAAAGAUUUAUCGGAAAAGGAUCGGCCCGCGUUGGAUUAGGUAGUUGGUGGGGUAAUGGCCUACCAAGCCGACGAUCCAUAGCUGGUUUGAGAGGAUGAUCAGCCACACUGGGACUGAGACACGGCCCAGACUCCUACGGGAGGCAGCAGUGGGGAAUCUUAGACAAUGGGGGCAACCCUGAUCUAGCCAUGCCGCGUGAGUGAUGAAGGCCUUAGGGUUGUAAAGCUCUUUCAGCUGGGAAGAUAAUGACGGUACCAGCAGAAGAAGCCCCGGCUAACUCCGUG